AUUGAACGCUGGCGGCAGGCCUAACACAUGCAAGUCGAGCGGGGUUUUCGGACCUAGCGGCGGACGGGUGAGUAAUGCCUAGGAAUCUGCCUGGUAGUGGGGGAUAACGCUCGGAAACGGACGCUAAUACCGCAUACGUCCUACGGGAGAAAGCAGGGGACCUUCGGGCCUUGCGCUAUCAGAUGAGCCUAGGUCGGAUU
RNAcentral lists this ribosomal RNA (200 nucleotides) under uncultured bacterium. RNAcentral describes it as "partial 16S ribosomal RNA". It matches the Rfam family "Bacterial small subunit ribosomal RNA", at positions 30 to 242 of the family's 1533-position model. The record is from RNAcentral.